Molecule: ribosomal RNA, 253 nt
Filed under: uncultured bacterium
Lineage: Bacteria
Description: partial 16S ribosomal RNA
Rfam family: Bacterial small subunit ribosomal RNA
Source: RNAcentral
UACGGGGGGGGCAAGCGUUGUUCGGAAUUACUGGGCGUAAAGGGCGCGUAGGCGGCCUGUUAAGUCGAACGUGAAAUCCCCGGGCUCAACCCGGGAACUGCGUCCGAUACUGGCAGGCUUAAAUCCGGGAGAGGGAUGCGGAAUUCCAGGUGUAGCGGUGAAAUGCGUAGAUAUCGUAAGGAAGGCCGGUGGCGAAAGCGAGCCUCUGGACAGUUACUGACGCUGAUGCACGAAGGCCAGGGGAGCAAACGGG